UGGUGGAGUGAUUUGUCUGGUUAAUUCCGUUAACGAACGAGACCUCGACCUGCUAAAUAGUCCGUCGAGCCCUCCGGGGCUCGCGCGCACUUCUUAGAGGGACUAUCGGUGAUUAGCCGGUGGAAGUUCGAGGCAAUAACA
This 141-nucleotide ribosomal RNA is filed under the name uncultured eukaryote. RNAcentral describes it as "partial 18S ribosomal RNA". It matches the Rfam family "Eukaryotic small subunit ribosomal RNA", at positions 1299 to 1458 of the family's 1831-position model. The record is from RNAcentral.